RNAcentral lists this ribosomal RNA (300 nucleotides) under uncultured archaeon. RNAcentral describes it as "bacterial SSU rRNA". It matches the Rfam family "Bacterial small subunit ribosomal RNA", at positions 496 to 795 of the family's 1533-position model. The record is from RNAcentral.
GCGAAGCUGGGGCGAGCAGGUGGGGUAAUGGCGGGGGCUCGAGCGUUAGGCGGAAUGACUGGGCUUAAAGGUGGCGUAGGCGGCUCGCGAAGGGCUUUGUGAAAUCCGACAGCUCAACGGUGGAACAGCAGGGCAAGCUGGCGGGCUUGAGGCAGGUAGGGGCCGGAAGAACAGUUGGUGGAGCGGUGAAAGGCGUAGAUAUCAACUGGAAUGCCGAUGGGGAAGCCGUCCGGCUGGGCCUGUCCUGACGCUGAGGCACGAAAGCGUGGGGAGCAAACAGGUUUAGAUACCCGUGUAGUC